CUACGGGUCGCACCAGUAGGGAAUAUUGGACAAUGGGGGAAACCCUGAUCCAGCAAUGCAGCGUGAGUGACGAAGGCCUUAGGGUUGUAAAACUCUUUCAUCGGUGAGGAUAAUGACAGUAGCCGAAGAAGAAGGACCGGCUAAUUCCGUGCCAGCAGCCGCGGUAAUACGGAAGGUCCUAGCGUUGUUCGGAAUUACUGGGCGUAAAGCGCAUGUAGGUGGAACAAAAAGUUAGAAGUGAAAUCCCUGGGCUCAACCUAGGAAUUGCUUUUAAAACUUUUGUUCUGGAAUUCAGGAGAGGAAAAUGGAAUUUCCAGUGUAGAGGUGAAAUUCGUAGAUAUUGGAAGGAACACCAGUGGCGAAGGCGAUUUUCUGGACUGAUAUUGACGCUGAGAUGCGAAGGCAUGGGUAGCAAACGGGAUUAGAUACCCCGGUAGUC
Molecule: ribosomal RNA, 439 nt
Filed under: uncultured bacterium
Lineage: Bacteria
Description: partial 16S ribosomal RNA
Rfam family: Bacterial small subunit ribosomal RNA
Source: RNAcentral